UACGUAGGGUCCGAGCGUUGUCCGGAAUUAUUGGGCGUAAAGAGCUCGUAGGCGGUCCGUUAAGUCGGAAGUGAAAUCUCAAGGCUCAACCUUGAAAUCGCUUUCGAUACUGGCGGACUUGAGGCAGGUAGGGGAAGGUGGAGUUCCUGGUGUAGCGGUGAAAUGCGCAGAUAUCAGGAGGAACACCGGUGGCGAAGGCGGCCUUCUGGGCCUGUUCUGACGCUGAGGAGCGAAAGCGUGGGGAGCAAACAGG
RNAcentral lists this ribosomal RNA (253 nucleotides) under uncultured bacterium. RNAcentral describes it as "partial 16S ribosomal RNA". It matches the Rfam family "Bacterial small subunit ribosomal RNA", at positions 524 to 776 of the family's 1533-position model. The record is from RNAcentral.